This 457-nucleotide ribosomal RNA is filed under the name uncultured bacterium. RNAcentral describes it as "bacterial SSU rRNA". It matches the Rfam family "Bacterial small subunit ribosomal RNA", at positions 43 to 524 of the family's 1533-position model. The record is from RNAcentral.
CAGGCCUAACACAUGCAAGUCGAACGCCCCGCGAGGGGAGUGGCAGACGGGUGAGGAACACGUGGGAACGUACCCUUCGGUUCGGAACAACCCUGGGAAACUAGGGCUAAUACCGGAUACGAGCGAGAGCUGAAAGGUUCACCGCCGAAGGAUCGGCCCGCGUCUGAUUAGCUAGUUGGUGAGGUAACGGCUCACCAAGGCGACGAUCAGUAGCUGGUCUGAGAGGAUGAUCAGCCACAUUGGGACUGAGACACGGCCCAAACUCCUACGGGAGGCAGCAGUGGGGAAUAUUGGACAAUGGGCGCAAGCCUGAUCCAGCCAUGCCGCGUGAGUGAUGACGGCCUUAGGGUUGUAAAGCUCUGUGGGGAGGGACGAAUAAGUGCUGGCUAAUAUCCAGCGCGAUGACGGUACCUCUUUAGCAAGCACCGGCUAACUCUGUGCCAGCAGCCGCGGUAAU